This 253-nucleotide ribosomal RNA is filed under the name uncultured bacterium. RNAcentral describes it as "partial 16S ribosomal RNA". It matches the Rfam family "Bacterial small subunit ribosomal RNA", at positions 524 to 776 of the family's 1533-position model. The record is from RNAcentral.
UACAGAGGUCUCAAGCGUUGUUCGGAUUCAUUGGGCGUAAAGGGUGCGUAGGCGGCGCGGUAAGUCGGGUGUGAAAUCUUGGAGCUUAACUCCGAAACUGCAUUCGAUACUGCCGUGCUUGAGGACUGGAGAGGAGACUGGAAUUUACGGUGUAGCGGUGAAAUGCGCAGAUAUCAGGAGGAACACCGGUGGCGAAGGCGGGUCUCUGGGCCGAAAUUGACGCUGAGGAGCGAAAGCGUGGGGAGCAAACAGG